CCAAUAGCGUAUAUUAAAGUUGUUGCAGUUAAAAAGCUCGUAGUUGAAUUUCGGGAUUGGCGUGUCGGUCGUGCCUUAAGGGGUAUGAACUGGCGUCGUCGACUUCUCACCUUCUGGAGAAUCACGAUGCCCUUAAUUGGGUGUCGUGUGGAACCAGGACCUUUACCUUGAAAAAAUUAGAGUGUUUAAAGCAGGCAUUUUUGCUCGAAUACAUUAGCAUGGAAUAAUAGAAUAGGACGGUUUGGUUCUAUUUUGUUGGUUUCUAGGAUCACCGUAAUGAUUAAUAGGGAUAGUUGGGGGCAUUAGUAUUCAAUUGUCAGAGGUGAAAUUCUUGGAUUUAUUGAAGACUAACUACUGCGAAAGCAUUUGCCAAGGAUGUUUUCAUUAAUCAAGAACGAAAGUUAGGGGAUCGAAGACGAUCAGAUACCGUCGUAGUCUUAACCAUAAACUAUGCCGACUAGGAAUCAGACGAUGUUAAUUUUUUAAUGACUCGUUUGGCACCUUACG
RNAcentral lists this ribosomal RNA (507 nucleotides) under uncultured Glomeromycotina. Its description in RNAcentral is "partial small subunit ribosomal RNA". It matches the Rfam family "Eukaryotic small subunit ribosomal RNA", at positions 591 to 1092 of the family's 1831-position model. The record is from RNAcentral. Lineage: Eukaryota; Fungi; Glomeromycota.